This 1073-nucleotide long non-coding RNA is filed under the name Bemisia tabaci. Its description in RNAcentral is "lncRNA ENSSSA2NGG010988". Lineage: Eukaryota; Metazoa; Arthropoda; Insecta; Hemiptera; Aleyrodidae. The record is from RNAcentral.
UGUAAGUACUUGCGGUUAUGCAGUGAUUCAUUUAGUCAUGCAACAGAAGUUCAUGUAAUGAAAAAUGAUUUUUAGCAACGAAUACUUAAAACGUCCUCAUUGUGAAUUGUAAUUUCUAUCCCGAUAGACGAAAAUCAGUUUUACCGUUCAGGUCAAGUGACGUUUUCGAGUGCACCCUAUGACGAUAGUAGCAUAAUCCUCAUAGUUGGGUCGAUCGAUAAUCCCAGCAGCGGGUUUCAGGACUUUUCCAUGGUUUUUUUCCUGAUGAUUGAGCCCCAUACAUCCAUUUUCACGACUGCUACUUUCCGUUUGAAUAUCAUUUCACAAUUCUACACUUCUCAGCCUUAUUUUGCGGUUCACCGCUCUUGAAGUAACUGUUAAGUGCCGAUCGUCCUUCGUCCUGAUCUGGCCAGUGUUUCGAUUGAUUGAAAAAAAAGUAGUUUGGUGUUUUUUAUCGUGAUUUUUUGUGCAUUCUCCUUCGCAUCGUACUUUCCUUCUUCGCUGUUAAACUAAAAAGCAAAAAUUAUAGCGAACAAAAAGUGAAAAAGUUCGAGCGGCAGUAGGUACAGAAUAAUAAUCUUCGUGUGGUUAUUGUGCGGAGGAGGUUAAAUAAUGAUAUAAAAUGUAAGUUUACCAAUAAUAUACUGCAACAGUGAUUUGCAUGAGAUCCUUUGAAUAAAUUGCGGUGGGCACUCAGCGGUCAUUUUUACACUUUCUUACUCGACAGAAUUAAAUUGCGUCUCCUCGAGUCAAUUGUUUGUAUAACCCAGUGUCAGUGAUGAAAUGAUUGGUUUUAUUAAAGCAAUGGUUACUAUACAUUUGACUUAUACCGAUAAAAAUUAAGGGGGCAUCAUUUUGAAUGCAACCGCAAAAGCAAUCGGUUAUUCCCCCCAUUUUCGCCCUCUUAACUAUUUCCAAAUUUUUUGGAGAAUGGCCAGGCCACAAUUUUUUUUGAAAAAAUCAAAGAUUAUUAACGGUUUUCUUUAUAAUUAUCACCAUCAUCAAAAUUGAUUUGACUAAUUUCAUAAUUACACUAACCAAUGAAUGUGUUUAUUGUUUACGAACUAUCUUUU